AUUGAACGCUGGCGGCAUGCCUUACACAUGCAAGUCGAGCGGCAGCACGGGAGCAAUCCUGGUGGCGAGUGGCGAACGGGUGAGUAAUAUAUCGGAACGAGCCCAGUCGUGGGGGAUAACGCAGCGAAAGCUGUGCUAAUACCGCAUACGAUCUAUGGAUGAAAGCGGGGGAUCGAAAGAUCUAGCGCGAUUGGAGCGGCAGAUAUCAGAUUAGCUAGUUGGUGAGGUAAAGGCUCACCAAGGCGACGAUCUGUAGCUGGUCUGAGAGGACGACCAGCCACACUGGAACUGAGACACGGUCCAGACUCCUACGGGAGGCAGCAGUGGGGAAUUUUGGACAAUGGGCGAAAGCCUGAUCCAGCAAUGCCGCGUGCAGGAUGAAGGCCUUCGGGUUGUAAACUGCUUUUGUACGGAACGAAACGGUGAGCUCUAAUACAGUUUGCUAAUGUCGGUACCGUAGGAAUAAGCACCGGCUAACUACGUGCCAGCCGCCGCCGUAA
This 500-nucleotide ribosomal RNA is filed under the name uncultured bacterium. RNAcentral's name for it is "partial 16S ribosomal RNA". It matches the Rfam family "Bacterial small subunit ribosomal RNA", at positions 30 to 523 of the family's 1533-position model. The record is from RNAcentral.